GCCAGUGUGGCAUAGUGGUUUGAGCGUUGGACUAGGACUCUGGAGACCAGGGUUCGAUUCACUGUUGGCC
This is a non-coding RNA of Phrynosoma platyrhinos (Desert horned lizard), 70 nucleotides long. NCBI's taxonomy places the organism in Eukaryota, Metazoa, Chordata, Lepidosauria, Squamata, Phrynosomatidae. The record is from the annotation of a GenBank genome assembly.